AGACGGGGGGGGCGAGCGUUGUUCGGAAUUACUGGGCGUAAAGGGCGCGCAGGCGGCUUGGGAAGUCUUGGGUGAAAGCCCCCAGCUCAACUGGGGAAUGGCCUGAGAAACCACUAGGCUGGAGUGCUGGAGAGGGAAGCGGAAUUCCCGGUGGAGCGGUGAAAUGCGUAGAUAUCGGGAGGAACACCAGAGGCGAAGGCGGCUUCCUGGACAGACACUGACGCUGAGGCGCGAAAGCUAGGGGAGCAAACGGGAUUAGAAACCCGGGUAGUCC
This 274-nucleotide ribosomal RNA is filed under the name uncultured bacterium. Its description in RNAcentral is "partial 16S ribosomal RNA". It matches the Rfam family "Bacterial small subunit ribosomal RNA", at positions 523 to 796 of the family's 1533-position model. The record is from RNAcentral.